GACAAUGGGCGAAGCCUGAUGCAGCAACGCCGCGUGAGGGACGACGGCCUUCGGGUUGUAAACCUCUUUUAGCAGGGAAGAAGCGAAAGUGACGGUACCUGCAGAAAAAGCACCGGCUAACUACGUGCCAGCAGCCGCGGUAAUACGUAGGGUGCAAGCGUUGUCCGGAAUUAUUGGGCGUAAAGAGCUCGUAGGCGGUUUGUCGCGUCUGCUGUGAAAUCCCGAGGCUCAACCUCGGGUCUGCAGUGGGUACGGGCAGACUAGAGUGCGGUAGGGGAGAUUGGAAUUCCUGGUGUAGCCGGUGGAAUGCGCAGAUAUCAGGAGGAACACCGAUGGCGAAGGCAGAUCUCUGGGCCGUUACUGACGCUGAGGAGCGAAAGGGUGGGGAGCAAACAGGCUUAGAUACCCUGGUAGUCCACCCCGUAAACGUUGGGCGCUAGAUGUGGGGACCAUUCCACGGUUUCCGUGUCGUAGCUAACGCAUUAAGCGCCCCGCCUGGGGAGUACGGCCGCAAGGCUAAAACUCAAAGGAAUUGACGGGGGCCCGCACAAGCGGCGGAGCAUGCGGAUUAAUUCGAUGCAACGCGAAGAACCUUACCAAGGCUUGACAUAUACGAGAACGGGCCAGAAAUGGUCAACUCUUUGGACACUCGUAAACAGGUGGUGCAUGGUUGUCGUCAG
Molecule: ribosomal RNA, 680 nt
Filed under: Plantibacter auratus
Lineage: Bacteria; Bacillati; Actinomycetota; Actinomycetes; Micrococcales; Microbacteriaceae
Description: bacterial SSU rRNA
Rfam family: Bacterial small subunit ribosomal RNA
Source: RNAcentral